CAGCAGCCGCGGUAAUACGAAGGGGGCUAGCGUUGUUCGGAAUCACUGGGCGUAAAGAGCACGUAGGCGGAUCUUUAAGUCAGAGGUGAAAUCCCGAGGCUCAACCUCGGAACUGCCUUUGAUACUGGGGAUCUCGAGUCCGGGAGAGGUGAGUGGAACUGCGAGUGUAGAGGUGAAAUUCGUAGAUAUUCGCAAGAACACCAGUGGCGAAGGCGGCUCACUGGCCCGGAACUGACGCUGAGGUGCGAAAGCGUGGGGAGCAAACAGGAUUAGAUACCCGCGUAGUCCCUGUCUCUUAUAC
Molecule: ribosomal RNA, 301 nt
Filed under: uncultured bacterium
Lineage: Bacteria
Description: partial 16S ribosomal RNA
Rfam family: Bacterial small subunit ribosomal RNA
Source: RNAcentral